RNAcentral lists this ribosomal RNA (403 nucleotides) under bacterium. Its description in RNAcentral is "partial 16S ribosomal RNA". It matches the Rfam family "Bacterial small subunit ribosomal RNA", at positions 355 to 776 of the family's 1533-position model. The record is from RNAcentral.
UGGGGAAUAUUGCACAAUGGGGGAAACCCUGAUGCAGCGACGCCGCGUGAACGAAGAAGGUAUUCGUAUCGUAAAGUUCUGUCCUAUGGGAAGAUAAUGACAGUACCAUAGAAGAAAGCUCCGGCUAAAUACGUGCCAGCAGCCGCGGUAAUACGUAUGGUGCGAGCGUUGUCCGGAAUUAUUGGGCGUAAAGGGUACGCAGGCGGUUUAAUAAGUCGAAUGUUAAAGAUCGGGGGUCAACCCCGUAAAGCAUUGGAAACUGAUAAACUUGAGUAGUGGAGAGGAAAGUGGAAUUCCUAGUGUAGUGGUGAGAUACGUAGAUAUUAGGAGGAAUACCAGUAGCGAAGGCGACUUUCUGGACACAAACUGACGCUGAGGUACGAAAGCGUGGGGAGCAAACAGG